This 333-nucleotide ribosomal RNA is filed under the name uncultured bacterium. RNAcentral describes it as "bacterial SSU rRNA". It matches the Rfam family "Bacterial small subunit ribosomal RNA", at positions 568 to 898 of the family's 1533-position model. The record is from RNAcentral.
CGUGUAGGCGGCCUGUUAAGUUAGACGUGAAAUCCCUGGGCUUAACCCAGGACCUGCGUUUAAAACUGGCGGGCUUGAGGACCGGAGAGGGCAGUGGAAUUCCCAGUGUAGCGGUGAAAUGCGUAGAUAUUGGGAGGAACACCAGUGGCGAAGGCGACUGCCUGGACGGCCCCUGACGCUGAGGCGCGAAAGCUAGGGGGAGCAAACGGGAUUAGAUACCCCGGUAGUCCUAGCCGUAAACGAUGGGUACUAGGUGUGGGAGGUAUCGACCCCUUCCGUGCCGCAGUUAACACAAUAAGUACCCCGCCUGGGGAGUACGGCCGCAAGGUUGAA